ACGGCAAUAAAAAAAGAGUUUAAAUCAAAGCCGACGUGACCUCUUCCAUGUACUGCAGCAGGUCCAGAGCCUUCUUGAAGUCGUACUCGUUGGCUCGUCUGUUGUCGUCGCAGAUGUACAGCUGCAGGGGAGACCAAGGAAGCGUUCGACAGGACAGGAAGCAGAGCAGAAGAUGCUGAGGUUCUCUUUGGAACCAGGAAUGGGACAUGAAUGGAUCCAUCAGAGGAACAGAUUAUAGUCUGGAGAUCAGCGCAGGGAAGCAGAUGGAGACGUUUGAGAGGAGAAACAGGGAGGAUGCUGGGAAAGGAUGCUGAGGGUGGAGCUACCAGGAAGGAAGGAUGGAAAAAAAAGGAUGCAAAGAAAGAAAAAAGAAAGAAAGCAUUUACAGAGAAAGAAUAAAAGACAAAAAGAUGAAAGAAAGGAUGAAAAGACGAAUGAAUGAUCGUUAAAUAAACUUUAUUGUCUGUUCAUUAAAUAGACAAUAAAGUUUUGGUGCCUCCUUUUGCACAAACAUCAAUUAAAUCUUGAAAGAAGGAA
This is a non-coding RNA of Oryzias latipes (Japanese medaka), 537 nucleotides long. The record is from RefSeq and is a predicted model, not a curated record. NCBI's taxonomy places the organism in Eukaryota, Metazoa, Chordata, Actinopteri, Beloniformes, Adrianichthyidae.